UCUGAGAGGAUGAUCAGUCACACUGGAACUGAGACACGGUCCAGACUCCUACGGGAGGCAGCAGUGGGGAAUAUUGGACAAUGGGCGAAAGCCUGAUCCAGCCAUGCCGCGUGUGUGAAGAAGGUCUUCGGAUUGUAAAGCACUUUAAGUUGGGAGGAAGGGCAUUAACCUAAUACGUUAGUGUUUUGAACGUUACCGACAGAAUAAGCACCGGCUAACUCUGUGCCAGCAGCCGCGGUAAUACAGAGGGUGCAAGCGUUAAUCGGAAUUACUGGGCGUAAAGCGC
Molecule: ribosomal RNA, 286 nt
Filed under: uncultured Pseudomonas sp.
Lineage: Bacteria; Pseudomonadati; Pseudomonadota; Gammaproteobacteria; Pseudomonadales; Pseudomonadaceae
Description: partial 16S ribosomal RNA
Rfam family: Bacterial small subunit ribosomal RNA
Source: RNAcentral